AGUGAACGCUGGCGGUAGGCCUAACACAUGCAAGUCGAACGGCAGCACAGUAAGAGCUUGCUCUUACGGGUGGCGAGUGGCGGACGGGUGGGGAAUACAUCGGAAUCUACUUUUUCGUGGGGGAUAACGUAGGGAAACUUACGCUAAUACCGCAUACGACCUACGGGUGAAAGCAGGGGAUCUUCGGACCUUGCGCGAUUGAAUGAGCCGAUGUCGGAUUAGCUAGUUGGCGGGGUAAAGGCCCACCAAGGCGACGAUCCGUAGCUGGUCUGAGAGGAUGAUCAGCCACACUGGAACUGAGACACGGUCCAGACUCCUACGGGAGGCAGCAGUGGGGAAUAUUGGACAAUGGGCGCAAGCCUGAUCCAGCCAUACCGCGUGGGUGAAGAAGGCCUUCGGGUUGUAAAGCCCUUUUGUUGGGAGAGAAAAGCAGCAGGUUAAUACCCCGCUGUUCUGACGGUACCCAAAGAAUAAGCACCGGCUAACUUCGUG
Molecule: ribosomal RNA, 492 nt
Filed under: uncultured bacterium
Lineage: Bacteria
Description: partial 16S ribosomal RNA
Rfam family: Bacterial small subunit ribosomal RNA
Source: RNAcentral